This 664-nucleotide long non-coding RNA is filed under the name Physcomitrium patens. RNAcentral's name for it is "long non-coding RNA (PPAT_LNC008573)". Lineage: Eukaryota; Viridiplantae; Streptophyta; Bryopsida; Funariales; Funariaceae. The record is from RNAcentral.
AUAAUAAUGCUAAGUAAGCUUAAUCAAAUUCAAAAAAAAUCUCAAAGAAAUUUCAAACAAACAAUAAGAAUUCUUAAAGAAAUAUUAGAAGGAUCACAAAUAUCACUCAAAUACAUCUCAAUUCAAUCUUAAUUUAAUUCUAGUUAAAAUCCUAUUGAACUUCAUUCAAACUUUAGGCCAAAACUAAUUGAAUCUUAAAUCCUAAUAAAAUCCUAAAUCCUAAAUCAAACCCUAAAAAAACCUUAAACCAAACCUCAACCAAAUCCUAAACCAAAUCCUAAUCAAAUCCUAAACCAAACCCUAAACCCUAAAUCAAAUCCUAGCCAAAUCCUAAUCCAAAUCCUAAAUCCUAAACCAAAUCCUAAUCCAAACCCUAAAUCAAAUUCUAAACCCUAAAUCAAACCCUAACUAAAUCCUAAAUCCUAAAUCAAAAUCUAACCAAAUCCUAAAUCCUAAAUAAAACCCUAACCAAAUCCUAAAUCAAAUCCUAAAUCCUAAACCAAAUCCUAAUCAAGCCCUAGAUCCUAAAUCAAAUACUAAACCCUAAACCAAAUCCUUGCCAAAUCCUAAAUCCUAAAUCCUAAAUCAAAUCCUAAUCCAAACUCUAAUCAAACCUUAAACCAAAUCCUAAACCAAAUCCUAACCAAACCCUAACCAAAUCCUA